RNAcentral lists this ribosomal RNA (845 nucleotides) under uncultured bacterium. RNAcentral describes it as "bacterial SSU rRNA". It matches the Rfam family "Bacterial small subunit ribosomal RNA", at positions 31 to 870 of the family's 1533-position model. The record is from RNAcentral.
GAACGCUGGCGGCAGGCUUAACACAUGCAAGUCGAGCGGGGAAGGGUAGCUUGCUACCUGACCUAGCGGCGGACGGGUGAGUAAUGCUUAGGAAUCUGCCUAUUAGUGGGGGACAACAUUCCGAAAGGAAUGCUAAUACCGCAUACGCCCUACUGGGGAAAGCAGGGGAUCUUCGGACCUUGCGCUAAUAGAUGAGCCUAAGUCAGAUUAGCUAGUUGGUGGGGUAAAGGCCUACCAAGGCGACGAUCUGUAGCGGGUCUGAGAGGAUGAUCCGCCACACUGGGACUGAGACACGGCCCAGACUCCUACGGGAGGCAGCAGUGGGGAAUAUUGGACAAUGGGCGAAAGCCUGAUCCAGCCAUGCCGCGUGUGUGAAGAAGGCCUUUUGGUUGUAAAGCACUUUAAGCGAGGAGGAGGCUACUUGGAUUAAUACUCUAGGAUAGUGGACGUUACUCGCAGAAUAAGCACCGGCUAACUCUGUGCCAGCAGCCGCGGUAAUACAGAGGGUGCGAGCGUUAAUCGGAUUUACUGGGCGUAAAGCGUGCGUAGGCGGCUUUUUAAGUCGGAUGUGAAAUCCCUGAGCUUAACUUAGGAAUUGCAUUCGAUACUGGGAAGCUAGAGUAUGGGAGAGGAUGGUAGAAUUCCAGGUGUAGCGGUGAAAUGCGUAGAGAUCUGGAGGAAUACCGAUGGCGAAGGCAGCCAUCUGGCCUAAUACUGACGCUGAGGUACGAAAGCAUGGGGAGCAAACAGGAUUAGAUACCCUGGUAGUCCAUGCCGUAAACGAUGUCUACUAGCCGUUGGGGCCUUUGAGGCUUUAGUGGCGCAGCUAACGCGAUAAGUAGACC